This 253-nucleotide ribosomal RNA is filed under the name uncultured bacterium. RNAcentral describes it as "partial 16S ribosomal RNA". It matches the Rfam family "Bacterial small subunit ribosomal RNA", at positions 524 to 776 of the family's 1533-position model. The record is from RNAcentral.
UACGUAGGGUGCAAGCGUUAAUCGGAAUUACUGGGCGUAAAGGGCUCGUAGGUGGCCAACUAAGUUAGACGUGAAAUCCCUCAGCUUAACUGGGGAACUGCGUCUGAUACUGGAUGGCUUGAGUUUGGGAGAGGGAUGCGGAAUUCCAGGUGUAGCGGUGAAAUGCGUAGAGAUCGGAAAGAACACCAACGGCGAAAGCACUCUGCUGGGCCGACACUGACACUGAGAGACGAAAGCUAGGGGAGCGAAUGGG